UUUCACAUCAUUGUGAGUAAAUAACUCAUGUCUUUCUAAAGGUAACCUAAAAAAACUUAUAAUUAGACUUACAAAGUUUGUUGCGUAAUCAAAUCGUAAAUGUAGACUUUUUGUUUGUGUCGGUGGUUUUUGGUAGCCUCCACCAAGCCAAUCGCUUUGGUGGAUUGCAAUUUGCUCAGAUAUGUGUGGAGUAAAUUAUGGUUGUCAGAGUUUUUUUUUUUCGGAAGAGUCUGGUCUAUCAAGAGUUCUAUCGACGAGUGAUGUUUCCGUUCAGCUUCAAUUCAACAUUGUGUUUGUCCGUUAUAUUAUUAGGUAUUUUGUUUUGUGACCUUGGCGUUCGAGAUGUUUUGUCACACGGUGUGGUGCCAGUAUAUGGUUCUAGUUUUUGGUAGUUUUAUACAAUUUCUC
This 408-nucleotide long non-coding RNA is filed under the name Trifolium pratense (red clover). Its description in RNAcentral is "long non-coding RNA (TPRA_LNC001019)". Lineage: Eukaryota; Viridiplantae; Streptophyta; Magnoliopsida; Fabales; Fabaceae. The record is from RNAcentral.